GACACGUAUAGUGACACCCGGUAUUAUGAAUGAAGUGCGGGUUAACGGGUUAACCCGUGAUUGUACGGUCCGGGCCGGGUUAACCCGUUUUUUAACGGGUCACCAUUUCUCCAACCCUAACCCGGCUUGUUUAGAAACCAGCCGGUCCGGGUUCGGGUUUUCACGGUCCGGGCACGGGUUAACCCGCGGGUUUCAACUUGUUUGCCAGCUCUAUCCAUAUGUCUAUAAGUCUAGAGGGGCCUCCUCAAAUGUUUUAUUUUUUCAGAAAUGAUUAACGCACCGAGAAUUUACACCGCAGGUGACCGUGUGAGAGGGGAUGGUAAGGUCCACUUCUGCCCUUCCCUAUCCCGAUGCCAUCUGGGACCGUUCAUUGCCCUCAUGGUGCAUUUCACGGUGAUGCUUCGGUCAACGUAUCUGGCCGGCGUAAAAACUAUGUCCUAUUUUCGGGAGUUAACUUGUUCUCCUAACCCAUCUGUUGAAGCACUUAAGCAAAUAUCAACCAAGUUACAGAUUCCAUAUUGGAAGAACAUCGACCAAACUUCUUGCAAUAGAAGUGAAGAUCUUAAUUGGACUACAAGUGCCUAUACUCUAAGUAAAGUUGUGUGUGACUGUUCUUACGACUCCUCCACCAUCUGCCAUAUCACCAAUAUUCAGCUGAAACGCCUCUACUUAAGUGGAGAAUUACCUGAUGAAUUUGCAAAUCUUCCCUAUCUGCAAGAACUAGAUUUUAGUGGCAAUUUUCUCAAUGGGUCUAUUCCUAAGGCUUGGAAAACUCUUCCACUGGUCAUUUUGUCUCUCUUGGCAAACAAUUUUAAGGGAACAAUUCCAAAUGAAAUUGCAGACAUUGUUACUCUAGAACAUUUGGUAUUGACAGAUAAUCAACUUGAAGGACCCAUUCCUCCAGAGCUUGGCAAGCUUACCAGAUUGAAGACAUUAGCUCUUUCUGGGAACAAUUUCACAGGAACUUUACCUGCAACAUUUGCUACUCUGAAGAACAUUACAGAUUUUAGGAUAGCUGGGACUAGUUUCUCUGGAGAAAUACCUGAUUUCAUUGGCAAUUGGACGCAACUUGUUCGGCUAGAUAUGCGAGGCACAUCAAUGGAGGGGCCCAUCCCUUCCUCCAUAUUCCACUUGAAGAACUUAACAACACUGAGAGUGUCCGACUUAAAGGGACCAAACAUGCCCUUCCCUGAUUUGCGGGAUAUGAGCAGCAUGCAGCAACUGGAGCUAAGAAAUUGCUUGAUUAAUGGUUCAAUUGCAUCAAACAUUGCAGAGAGCAUGCCUGGACUAAUGCGACUAGACUUGAGCUUCAAUAGACUGACUGGUGACAUUCAAAGCCUCCAAGAAAUAUCAUCCCUUCAAAACAUGUACCUCACCAACAACUCAUUGACUGGACAGAUACCAGCAUGGAUAGCAAACGCCAAACGGAACUUUGACCUAUCAUACAACAAUUUUACUGGGCCAUCUCAAUCGGGUUGCCAGGAUUCAAAUUUGAAUAAAAUCUCGAGCUAUUCAUCUGAAGAAGACCAAGUUAGCUGGUGUUUGAAGAAGGAUCUACCCUGCUUCACAGAUUCCAAAUAUUAUUCCUUUUUCAUUAAUUGUGGUGGCUCGGAGAUGACUGUCGGAGGAGAGAAGUAUGAUGCUGAUUUAUCACCAAUGGGACCAUCAUCAUUCUUCUCGUACAAUGAUAGAUGGGCUUGUAGUACUACAGGAGAUUUUGUUGGAUCUCGCGGUGCGAGCUAUAUUGCUCAAGUGAGUCCAAACAUGUCAGUGACAGACUUAUACUCAUCAGCUCGUAUUUCUCCUCUCUCACUCAAGUACUACGGCAUUUGCUUACGUCCGGGAAAUUAUAAAGUGAAGCUUCACUUUGCGGAAAUAAUGUUCCCAAUUGACCAAAUGGCUGACAGUAUUGGUACUCGGGUAUUUGAUGUAUCAAUCCAAGGUAAAAAAGUAUUGGAGGGUUUUAAUAUUGAAGAAGCAGCAAAAGGUGUUGGGAAGAGUAUUAUUAAAGAAUAUGAUGUUGAUGUUACAAACAGCACUCUUGAGAUUCACUUAUACUGGGCGGGGAAAGGAACUACUUUCAUUCCCCUCGAAGUUGCAUAUGGACCUCUUAUUUCAGCUAUUGCAGUCACACCAAACUUUGAUCCGAACACGGGUCGCAUGUCUGUUGGAGUAAUUGCUGGCAUUGUAGCUGCUUCAUGUGUUUUAAUCUUAUUGAUUCUGGCAAUCCUUUGGAAGAAAGGCUGCCUUGGAAAAAAGGAUCCUGAGGAUAAAGAACUUAAGGAGCUAUUGCAGACGAGUUACUUUACUCUGAGAGAAAUUAAAACAGCAACCAGUAAUUUUGAUUUUGCAAAUAAAAUAGGUGAAGGUGGGUUUGGUCCAGUUUACAAGGGCCUGCGUCCAGAUGGUUCAGUAAUUGCUGUCAAGCAACUCUCUGCCAAGUCAAUGCAAGGCAAUCGUGAAUUUGUGAACGAAAUUAACAUGAUUUCUGCUAUACAACACCGUAAUCUCGUGAAGCUUUUUGGCUGUUGUGUUGAAGGAAACCAGCUUCUGGUAAUUUACGAAUAUAUGGAAAAUAAUAGCCUUGCCCGUGCUCUAUUUGGUCGUGCAGAUCAACGACUGAACUUGAACUGGCCAACAAGGCUUAGGAUUUGUUUGGACAUAGCUAAAGGUUUAGCUUAUCUUCAUGAAGAAUCAAGGCUGAAAAUUGUGCACAGAGACAUAAAGGCAACUAAUGUUCUUCUUGAUAAAGAUUUUACUGCGAGGAUAUCUGAUUUUGGUUUGGCUAAACUUGAGGAGGAGGAGAAAACCCACAUCAGCACACGUAUAGCAGGAACUGUAGGUUAUAUGGCACCAGAAUAUGCAAUGAGGGGUCGCUUGACUUACAAAGCAGACGUUUACAGCUUUGGAGUUGUUGCAUUAGAGAUCGUCAGUGGAAAGAGCAACACAAGUUACAUCCCAAAGGAUGAGUUCAUCAGCUGUCUUCUUGACUGGGCUUAUGUACUAAAAGAGGAUGGAAGACUCCUAGACCUCGUUGACCCCAUUCUGAAUUCAGACUAUUCAAAAGAAGAAGUUUUGAGAAUGUUAAACAUAGCCUUGUUAUGCACAAACCCAUCUCCUAGUCUUAGACCAUUGAUGUCUACUGUUGUGAGCAUGCUUGAAGGUCGAACUCCAGCCCAAGAAUCACUAUUGAACACUCCAGUUCAAGGAUCACAUCUUAUACGUGGUGGUUCGAGGGUUGAUGAUACGAGGUCAAGGACAUCUGAGAGAAUCUCGUAUGACAACCAAACACCGAUAUCAACCUUUUCUCAAGAGAGUGCUUUAUUAGAGAGUAAAUCAUCAAUGGAGGAUCCAUCGCAGUUUGAUUCCACAGUGUCUUACUACAGUGAAGAUGAAGAAGAUGAUAUAAGAAGAAGAAGAAGAAUAGCAAAUUAGUUGACACUCUUCAGUUUUCAAGUGGCUGAAUUGUAUCACACUAAAUAGCCCAACACACUGCAAAGAGAACAGGCCAAAUCUUCCUUCCCCUUUUUCUUGCUCUUCUAUAGUUCCAAGCUCUUGAGUCUUGAGAUAAAGAUUCAGAUAGUCCUGGAUUUUCUUGUAUAGCUGCAGUGUAGCAUUAUGUGGUUUACAGAUUCUUAUUGCUCUUCUCAGUCGUACUUAGUCUGUAGCAUAUGCCGUAAGUACUUGACAUAUACAAAACUCUACCAUCAUUUUCAUUCUAGUCUCUCUUAAAAGUUAAAUCCUAUUCCCAACAAGUCUUCUCCUGCAGUAGUGUAGUAGUUGUUGUUAUUGGAAGUUCGAAACACAGAUAUGAAGUUACUAUAUCUUCAUGUCAUCUCAAACAUAAAAUUCUCUGUUAUAAUUCUUGUGUUGUUAAUUGUGUUGAAUUGCUUGGAGGAAUUCAGUUCUGAAGCUCAAGUUAUUCCAGAAGAUGAAGGAACUUGGAGGGGUUGUUCAGUAAAGUUCUAUGCAAGAGUAAGGGACUCAGAGCAUGCAAAAUGCCUUGCGUUUUUGGAUGUUGUGACUUGGUGCAAAGAGCUGCAACAUUUUCAUAUAGUUCUGGAGACUGACUUACAAGGAAUUGCCAACUAUAUCAAUCAUGCAGAUCCAGUUAUAGCAUGGGAAAAUGAAGGCCUUCUUCUUGAUGCUUUAGAGAUUCUAAAAACUAUUCCAUUUUGUUAUGUCAUUUUGUUCCUAGGAUAUGUAAUAAACCUGCUGACAAACUUGCAAAGUUCAGUAGGAAGAAUCGAG
RNA transcript from Papaver somniferum (opium poppy), 4251 nucleotides. It is a transcript of the gene named probable LRR receptor-like serine/threonine-protein kinase At1g53440, with no coding region annotated. The transcript has 25 exons. NCBI's taxonomy places the organism in Eukaryota, Viridiplantae, Streptophyta, Magnoliopsida, Ranunculales, Papaveraceae. The record is from RefSeq and is a predicted model, not a curated record.